AUAGGCACAGGCAAUGACUUUCUCAAUAAGAAUGCCUAAAACUCAGCAAGUAAUGCCAGGAGUUAAUGAGAUAGCAUCAAAUUAAAAAGCUUCUGCACAGCAAAGGAAACAAUUAGGAAUGUGAAGACAGAACCCACAGAAUAAGAUAAAAUCUUUGCUGGCUACUCUUCUGACAGAGGAUUAACACCUAGAAUAUAUAAAGAGCUCAAAAAAACUUUACACCAAAAAAUCAAAUAACCCAAUAGAUAAAUGGGCAAAUGAGCUAAACAGACACUUCUCAAAGGAAUGAAUACAAAGGACCAACAAAUACAUGGAAAAAUGUUCAACAUUAUUAGCAAUUAUGGAAAUGCAAAUAAAAAUAACACUGAGAUUUCAUCGCACACAAUUUAGAAUGGCAGUCAUUAAGAAUACAAAUAACAAUAAAUGCUGAAGAGGAUGUGGAGAAAAAGGAACACAUUUACACUGUUGGUGGGACUGUAAAUUCCAACUGCUAUGGAAAUCUGUAUGGAGGCUCCUCAAAAGAUAGGCAUGGAACCACCGAACGAUCCAGCUAUACCACUUCUCUCUUCAAUUCCUGAAGAAUUAAAGUCAUCAUACUACAGUGAUACGUGCAUACCCAUGUUUAUAAUAGCACAAUUCAUGACAGCCAAACUCUUGAACCAGCCUUGGUGUCCAUCAACAGAUGAAUGGAUAAAGAAAAUGUACUAUAUAUAUGCACAAUGGAGUUUUAUUCAACCCUAAAGAAAAAUGGAAUUCUGGCAUUUUCAGGAAAAUGGAUGGAAAUAGAGACCAUCAUGUUAAGUGAAAUAAGUCAAACUCAGAAGGUUAAGGGCUGUAAUAUUUUCUGUCAUGUGGAAGCUAGAGAGGAAAAAG
Molecule: long non-coding RNA, 873 nt
Filed under: Marmota monax (woodchuck)
Lineage: Eukaryota; Metazoa; Chordata; Mammalia; Rodentia; Sciuridae
Source: RNAcentral